AGGCCUACACAUGCAAGUCGAGCGGAUGAGUGGAGCUUGCUCCAUGAUUCAGCGGCGGACGGGUGAGUAAUGCCUAGGAAUCUGCCUGGUAGUGGGGGACAACGUUUCGAAAGGAACGCUAAUACCGCAUACGUCCUACGGGAGAAAGCAGGGGACCUUCGGGCCUUGCGCUAUCAGAUGAGCCUAGGUCGGAUUAGCUAGUUGGUGAGGUAAUGGCUCACCAAGGCGACGAUCCGUAACUGGUCUGAGAGGAUGAUCAGUCACACUGGAACUGAGACACGGUCCAGACUCCUACGGGAGGCAGCAGUGGGGAAUAUUGGACAAUGGGCGAAAGCCUGAUCCAGCCAUGCCGCGUGUGUGAAGAAGGUCUUCGGAUUGUAAAGCACUUUAAGUUGGGAGGAAGGGCAUUAACCUAAUAUGUUAGUGUUUUGACGUUACCGACAGAGUAAGCACCGGCUAACUUCGUGCCAGCAGCCGCGGUGAUACGAAGGGUGCAAGCGUUUAAUCGGAAUUAC
RNAcentral lists this ribosomal RNA (515 nucleotides) under Pseudomonas sp. RNAcentral's name for it is "bacterial SSU rRNA". It matches the Rfam family "Bacterial small subunit ribosomal RNA", at positions 44 to 554 of the family's 1533-position model. Lineage: Bacteria; Pseudomonadati; Pseudomonadota; Gammaproteobacteria; Pseudomonadales; Pseudomonadaceae. The record is from RNAcentral.